This 118-nucleotide ribosomal RNA is filed under the name uncultured bacterium. Its description in RNAcentral is "partial 16S ribosomal RNA". It matches the Rfam family "Bacterial small subunit ribosomal RNA", at positions 1357 to 1482 of the family's 1533-position model. The record is from RNAcentral.
CUACGGUGAAUACGUUCCCGGACCUUGUACACACCGCCCCGUCAAGCCAUGGAAGCUGGGUGUACCUAAAGUCGAUAACCGUAAGGAGUCGCCUAGGGUAAAACUAGUAACUGGGGCU